Long non-coding RNA from Gorilla gorilla gorilla (western lowland gorilla), 2692 nucleotides. RefSeq lists it as uncharacterized. The record is from RefSeq and is a predicted model, not a curated record. Lineage: Eukaryota; Metazoa; Chordata; Mammalia; Primates; Hominidae. The transcript is spliced from 4 exons.
UAGAUUUACACAAUAGGCACUAUUUUGUCUGUCUUCUUUCACACAGAAUGACGGUUUUUUUUUUGUUUUCUUUCUUUUCCAAGACUAUUUCUUAGUGUGAACAGCAUGAUUUUUUUGAGUGAAUAAAUGAGUCGAAAAGCUAUGAACAUUCAGGUACAAGUCUUUGUAUGAACAUAUAUUUUCCUUUCUCUUUGGUAAAUACCUGAGAGUAGAAUAGCUGGGCCACAUGGUGGGGCUGAUAAUACCAACCACCCCAGGUUGCCACGUAGAGUAACGAGGUGAUGAAUGAAAGCACCUGGAACUAUGCCCCGUCCAUGGCUCCACAGCUGUUUUGCAAACACAUAAUCUGAAUCAGAGACCUGAACAGAAGACGCAACUUCAGGCGCAGACCUCUGGGAGCCCUGAGAUGGUCCAGAUUCUGUUUAAAGGGUUUGUCUUAAAGAGUUAGAGGCCUGCCCUUCAUCCCUUUCCUUCCACAAUUGGCCUGGAAUGUGCGCAUCUGGAGCUCUAGCUGCCAUCUUGGGUCACAAGAACAAGGAGCAUAACGUAGAUCUGGGAUGAUUCAUAAACUGUGAAGAAACAGGUCCCUAAUGAAUUUCUGAUGAAUCUGUCCUGGACACCUACCUCAUGACGUCUUUUAGAUGAAAACAAAUAAAACUGUGUGUGUCUAAGCCACCAUUAUUUGUUUGCUCUGCUGUGCGAGGCUAAACUUACUCCUAACUCAUAUCAUCAUUGUCUUUUGUUUCUUUGUAUAUUUGGGGAUUUUUUCAUUGUAAUUAUCCAUUUGGUUUCACAUAGUCUAUACGAAUCCUGAAAUCCUGAAUUAAUGACACCUUCCUCCAAAAGGGAUUUGAAUUUAUAUAUUUCUGGAAUUACGUAUGCUAACAACAGGGGACAGCUUUAGCCUCCUUAAUUAGGACACAGGGCCUGGCAGCAGCCUCAGAGCUUAGCUUUCAAUCCCUCAUUUGUGACUGACAUUGGCAUUUCUCCUCCAAGUUUUGCAGUUUGCUUACCACCCAAUGCUCGUUUUAGCUUACUAUGCAUGUUUGCAUGUUGUUUUAUUCUGUUUUGUUGACAUUGGAAAGUUCCCUUUGUUUCUUGUAAGAGCUCAACGUAUUUUUUAAAAUGUUAUAAUCUGAUUAUGUUGCCAUUGUAGUGGAAUAUUACUUCAGAGGCCUGUUCACCAUUCACCCAGAAGCGGCACUGACACCCUUCCCAUGCCAGUUUCACCAUUAGAUGUGCUACAAAGGCUUUAUGUCAGAUUGACCCAUCCAAUACUUUGAUGCAAGCUUGGUACAAGCAGAGCUCUUCUGAAAACAAUAUUGUUACCACUUUCUAUGUGGUAACAAUUCACUCAUUUAUUUGUAUUGGGGAUUCGGUUUGCACUCAUUGCUAUUAUUUUCUUUUAGAGUUUCUGGGACCUCUUUCAAAUUACACGAGUUCAUUCCUCUGCCUGCAAAGAUUCUGACCCAUCCUCAGGGAUGUGUAUAAUACAAUUCUACUAAGGGAAAUACACUAUUACUCUGCAACUUGCUUUUUAAAUUAAUAAUAUGUCAUUUUGCCUUUCAGUACUUAUAGUCACCUCAUUCUUCCUUCAUAGCCGAAUAGUAUUCUGUGGUACAUACCACAAUUUAUUAAACAAUUUUACCACUGAUAGACCUUUAGGUUGUUUCCAAUAUUUUGAUAUUAUUAAUACUGCUGUGCUAUAAUAAGCAUAUAUAUACUUGUAUAUGUGCACAUAUUUCUGAGUAAAUUUAUAGAAAGGCUCUGUAAACAUAUACUUAUUGGUUCAAGGGGUAUGAAUAUUUAACAUUUUGAUGGAUGUUGCCAAUUUGUCUCCACCAAAAGCCAUGCUAAUGUAAUGUGUUUGUGACAGACACUACUAAUGCCAACUUAAUAUUAAUUUUCCCAAAUUCUAUACUGAAAGAAUCCCUGUUUUGUUUCAGAGAGGUGGUAUGCCUAGCCAAAGGCAACAUUUCACAGUCUCACUCUGAGCUAAGUGUGGUCACAGGACUAACUUCUGUCCGCUGAACUAUGAAUGAAAGUGUCGUGUGGGGUGUGCUGCAGUGCCACUUACUGGAAGAUGUGUCACUUUCCACCCUUCUACCUUUAUUCCUUCUUCAAACCUUCUCAGUGGUUUGAUGGCAAGGUCCUUGCAGUCAUCAUGAACCAUGAAAUCAUCUUGAGGAUAGGGGUAGUGGAGAAAAAAGAAUGGAGCCUGAAUCAUGGAGAGCCACUAUGCAACUUUAGACUACCUACAGCUUGACUUUCAUUAUAUGGGAGAAUUAACCCAUUAUUUUCCAGGUCUUUGCUACAUGCAGGUAAAUACUAUUUCUAAAUAACACAGCGCCCCUUUCAAUCAUGUAAACAAUACAACAGUCCCAUUGAGUACUUGCUGUGGUCCCCAUCAUGUGCUGUAGACUGUCACCGCAGAGCCCUUGCUCACUACCACAGUGGCUGUCCUUUCUGCAUGGGUCAGUGCAACCAGGUAGGUGGGCUUGUACAUUGACUCCUCAUCCUUUCUUUCCCAAUUGGUGACCUCAGUUCACAGGACUAGUAGAACAAACUUUAAAUUUUCAUUUUUGGCUCAGAUCAUCUAGGGAAAUUAGUCUACACAAAUACACAUACACACACAUACACACACACACACACUCACAUCCAGUACAUACAGAAAACCAAAUGGCUUUUCAGA